This 253-nucleotide ribosomal RNA is filed under the name uncultured Lachnospiraceae bacterium. RNAcentral's name for it is "partial 16S ribosomal RNA". It matches the Rfam family "Bacterial small subunit ribosomal RNA", at positions 524 to 776 of the family's 1533-position model. Lineage: Bacteria; Bacillati; Bacillota; Clostridia; Lachnospirales; Lachnospiraceae. The record is from RNAcentral.
UACGUAUGGAGCAAGCGUUAUCCGGAGUUACUGGGCGUAAAGGGAGCGUAGGCGGCCUGCCAAGUCUGAUGUGAAAUACCGGGGCUCAACCCCGGGGCUGCAUUGGAAACUGGCAGGCUGGAGUGCCGGAGAGGCAGGCGGAAUUCCUAGUGUAGCGGUGAAAUGCGUAGAUAUUAGGAGGAACACCAGUGGCGAAGGCAGCUUUCCAAGCUAUUACUGACGCUGAGGCACGAAAGCGUGGGGAUCGAACAGG